GACGAACGCUGGCGGCGUGCUUAACACAUGCAAGUCGAACGAGACGAUUGAAAGCUUGCUUUUAAAAGUCGAGUGGCAAACGGGUGAGUAACGCGUAGACAACCUGCCUUUGAGAUGGGGACAACAGUUCGAAAGGACUGCUAUACCGAAUGUUGUAUAUUUUCCACAUGGAAGAUAUAUUAAAGAUGGCCUCUAUUUAUAAGCUAUCGCUCAAAGAUGGGUCUGCGUCUGAUUAGCUGGUUGGUGGGGUAACGGCCUACUAAGGCGACGAUCAGUAGCCGGUCUGAGAGGAUGAACGGCCACAUUGGGACUGAGACACGGCCCAGACUCCUACGGGAGGCAGCAGUGGGGAAUCUUCCACAAUGGACGAAAGUCUGAUGGAGCAACGCCGCGUGAGUGAAGAAGGGUUUCGGCUCGUAAAGCUCUGUUGUCGGGGACGAAUGUGCAGUAUUUGAAUAAAGUACUGCAAUGACGGUACCUGACGAGGAAGCCACGGCUAACUACGUGCCAGCCGCCGCAGUAA
RNAcentral lists this ribosomal RNA (523 nucleotides) under uncultured bacterium. RNAcentral's name for it is "partial 16S ribosomal RNA". It matches the Rfam family "Bacterial small subunit ribosomal RNA", at positions 28 to 523 of the family's 1533-position model. The record is from RNAcentral.